Molecule: ribosomal RNA, 520 nt
Filed under: uncultured Glomus
Lineage: Eukaryota; Fungi; Glomeromycota; Glomeromycetes; Glomerales; Glomeraceae
Description: SSU rRNA
Rfam family: Eukaryotic small subunit ribosomal RNA
Source: RNAcentral
AGCAGCCGCGGUAAUUCCAGCUCCAAUAGCGUAUAUUAAAGUUGUUGCAGUUAAAAAGCUCGUAGUUGAAUUUCGGAACCAAUAUGUCGGUCGUGCCUCGGUACGUACUGGUGUCAUUGGUUUCUCCCUUCUGAGGAUCCUUGAUGUCAUUAAUUUGGUGUCUUGGGGAAUCAGGACUGUUACCUUGAAAAAAUUAGAGUGUUUAAAGCAGGCAUACGCUUGAAUACAUUAGCAUGGAAUAAUGAAAAUAGGACGUUCGAUUCUAUUUUGUUGGUUUCUAGGAUCGACGUAAUGAUUAAUAGGGAUAGUUGGGGGCAUUAGUAUUCAAUUGUCAGAGGUGAAAUUCUUGGAUUUAUUGAAGACUAACUACUGCGAAAGCAUUUGCCAAGGAUGUUUUCAUUAAUCAAGAACGAAAGUUAGGGAUCGAAGACGAUCAGAUACCGUCGUAGUCUUAACCAUAAACUAUGACCGACUAGGGAUCGGAUGAUGUUAAUUUUUANGUACUUCAUUCGGCGCCUUA